CUCCUUUCGUAGUUCAUGAGCAUGAUGAUUGUGUUCACACACAUGUGUGAAACGUAGCACCACAAACCUUGUUACAACAUUGGCACAUUACCCGUCUGGCA
Molecule: small nucleolar RNA, 101 nt
Filed under: Callithrix jacchus (white-tufted-ear marmoset)
Lineage: Eukaryota; Metazoa; Chordata; Mammalia; Primates; Cebidae
Description: Small nucleolar RNA U13 (ENSCJAG00000067114.2)
Rfam family: Small nucleolar RNA U13
Source: Rfam by way of RNAcentral